GGUUCGAUCAUGGCUCAGAUUGAACGCUGUGGGAUGCUUUACACGCCAAGUCGAACAGCACGGACUUCGGUCUGGUGGCGAGUAGCGAACGGGUAGGUAAUGUAUCGGAACGUGCCUAGUAGCGGGGGAUAACUGCGAAAGCGUAGCUAAUACCGCAUACGCCCUUGGGGAAAAGCGGGGACCUUCAGGGCCUCGCACUAUUAGAGCAACCGAUAUCGGAUUAGCUGGUGGUGGGGUAACGGCUCGCAAGGCGACGAUCCGUAGCUGGUUUGAGAGGACGACCAGCCACACUGGGACUGAGACACGGCCCAGACUCCUACGGGAGGCAGCGGUGAAAUUUUGGACAAUGGGAAACCCUGAUCCAGCCCAUCCCGCGUGUGCGAUGAAGGCCUUCGGGUUGUAAAGCACUUUUGGCAAGAAAGAAGCAGCACGGGAUAUUACCCCGUGCAACUGACUGAUACCUGCAGAAUAAGCACCGGCUAACUACGUGCCAGCAGCCGCGGUAAUACGUAGGGUGCAAGCGUUAAUCGGAAUUACUGGGCGUAAAGCGUGCGCAGGCGGUUCGGAAAAGAAAGAUGUGAAAUCCCAGAGCUUAACUUUGGAACUGCAUUUUUAACUACCGAGCUAGAGUGUGUCAGAGGAGGUGGAAUUCCGCGUCUUAGCAGUGAAAUGCGUAGAUAUGGGAGAACACCGAUGGCGAAGGCAGCCUCCUGGGAUAACACUGACGCUCAUGCACGAAAGCGUGGGGAGCAAGCAGGAUUAGAUACCCUGGUAGUCCACGCCCUAAACGAUGUCCAACUAGCUGUUGGGGCCUUCGGGCCUUGGUAGCGCAGCUAACGCGUGAAGUUGACCGCCUGGGAGAGUACAGGUGCUCAAGAUUAAAACUCAAAGGAAUUGACGGGGACCCGCACGGCGGUGGAUGAUGUGGAUUAAUUCGAUGCAACGCGAAAACCUUACCUACCCUUGACAUCCCGAUCGCGGUUACCGGAAUGCGGUUCCUUCGGAUUAGGCUGGAUCGGUGACGGGUGCUGCAUGGCUGUCGUCAGCUCGUGUGUGAGGAUGUUUGAGUUGAUCCGCAACGAGCGCAGCCCUCGCCAUGGUUGCCAUCAUUCGGUUGGGCACUCUAAGGGGACUGCCGGUGAUAAAGCGAGAGGGAAGGUGGGGAUGACGUCAAGUCCUCAUGGCCCUUACGGGCUGGGCUACACGUUAACACAAUGGUGGUGACAGUGGGCAGCGAGACCGCGAGGUCGAGCUAAUCUCCAAAAACACAUCUCGAUUCGGAUUGCACUCUGCAACUCCGAAGGUGCAUGAAGUUGGAAUCGCUGGUAAUCUCGUGGAUCAGAAUGCCACGGUGAAUACGUUCCCGGGCCUUGUACACACCGCCCGUCACACCAUGGGGAUUGGUCUUACCCGAGGUGCUGUGCUAACCGCAAGGAGGGCGAGGCAACCGCAUUGGGGUCAGCGACUGG
This 1469-nucleotide ribosomal RNA is filed under the name uncultured Bordetella sp. Its description in RNAcentral is "partial 16S-23S ribosomal RNA intergenic spacer". It matches the Rfam family "Bacterial small subunit ribosomal RNA". Lineage: Bacteria; Pseudomonadati; Pseudomonadota; Betaproteobacteria; Burkholderiales; Alcaligenaceae. The record is from RNAcentral.